This 252-nucleotide ribosomal RNA is filed under the name uncultured Lactobacillus sp. RNAcentral's name for it is "partial 16S ribosomal RNA". It matches the Rfam family "Bacterial small subunit ribosomal RNA", at positions 105 to 339 of the family's 1533-position model. The record is from RNAcentral. Lineage: Bacteria; Bacillati; Bacillota; Bacilli; Lactobacillales; Lactobacillaceae.
CGGGAGUGGGUGGAGGUAAACACGUGGGGAACCUGCCCCAUAGUCUGGGAUACCACUUGGAAACAGGUGCUAAUACCGGAUAAUAAAGCAGAUCGCAUGAUCAGCUUAUAAAAGGCGGCGUAAGCUGUCGCUAUGGGAUGGCCCCGCGGUGCAUUAGCUAGUUGGUAAGGUAACGGCUUACCAAGGCAAUGAUGCAUAGCCGAGUUGAGAGACUGAACGGCCACAUUGGGACUGAGACACGGCCCAAACUCC